UAAUACAUCGGAACGUACCCAGUAGUGGGGGAUAGCUCGGCGAAAGCCGGAUUAAUACCGCAUACGCACUACGGUGGAAAGCGGGGGAUCGCAAGACCUCGCGCUAUUGGAGCGGCCGAUGGCUGAUUAGCUAGUUGGUGGGGUAAAAGCUCACCAAGGCGACGAUCAGUAGCUGGUCUGAGAGGACGACCAGCCACACUGGGACUGAGACACGGCCCAG
RNAcentral lists this ribosomal RNA (220 nucleotides) under uncultured bacterium. RNAcentral describes it as "partial 16S ribosomal RNA". It matches the Rfam family "Bacterial small subunit ribosomal RNA", at positions 111 to 334 of the family's 1533-position model. The record is from RNAcentral.